CGUGAUGGCGACCGGCGCACGGGUGAGUAACACGUAUCCAACCUGCCGAUAACUCGGGGAUAGCCUUUCGAAAGAAAGAUUAAUACCCGAUGGCAUAAUUAGACCGCAUGGUCUUAUUAUUAAAGAAUUUCGGUUAUCGAUGGGGAUGCGUUCCAUUAGGCAGUUGGUGAGGUAACGGCUCACCAAACCUUCGAUGGAUAGGGGUUCUGAGAGGAAGGUCCCCCACAUUGGAACUGAGACACGGUCCAA
RNAcentral lists this ribosomal RNA (249 nucleotides) under uncultured bacterium. RNAcentral's name for it is "partial 16S ribosomal RNA". It matches the Rfam family "Bacterial small subunit ribosomal RNA", at positions 84 to 334 of the family's 1533-position model. The record is from RNAcentral.